UUCAAGCGACUGCAGCGCCACGGCCAACACAACUGUUUAUUUCCUUUCUUGUUUCCUACACUGUAGCAAUCAGAUGGACCUCGCUCUUCUGCUGUAUCUCUGUCUACGCACUACGCACAGUUAUUUUUAUGCAGCCUAGUUUAUGUUUGAGAGACUGAAUUGAUUGCAUUCUAUUAGAAAGAAUCGUAAGAAAAGGCAUCAUGUUUGGAAGAAACAAACAAAAAGGCAAAUCUAAUAAAUCAAAUAACCAGUGCGUAACCAACUGGAGCAUAGCAUUUGAAAACGUUUUAAAGGAUCCAGCUGGUCUGAAAAUAUUUACGGAAUUUUUAAAAAGAGAAUUUAGUGUUGAAAAUAUAAUGUUUUGGAUGUCAUGCAAGAAAUACAGUACAUUGACAGACAAAAUUCAAGUAAGCAGCGUUCUCGAACUAUGUCUAAAUUUCAUAUGAAAUACUUAUUUUAAAUUUCGAAUUCUGUAAUUUUAGCUGAGAAAUUAAUAAAAAAAUAAACACAAAA
This is a long non-coding RNA of Stegodyphus dumicola, 513 nucleotides long. The record is from RefSeq and is a predicted model, not a curated record. Lineage: Eukaryota; Metazoa; Arthropoda; Arachnida; Araneae; Eresidae.